CAAACAUUGGAUGUUACUCAAAUAAUUAAGUGCUUUGCUAAAAAAUUUAGAUUUUACUUUAGCGUGAUUUUCAAGUUUCAGUAGUGGCAUGGAAUUUAGGUAGUCAGCUUUUUUGGAGAUAGAGAAAAACAAAAAGUAUUUUUAAAGAUCUGCAUUAAGAUGCAGUGCAGCUUGUGUUAUAUAAGUAGAAGUAGUGUAUACGCACAUACGUAUACAGAAGUAACUAAAAUGAACUCUUGUAUACUAGCAGAUAGGUGCAUAUGUAGAAUAAUGUUUAUUGGAGCAGAAAUUUAUUUUGAAAGUAAAUUUAUGAUUUACUCCUAAACAAUUUUUAAUGUUUGUUAAUAUGUUUCAGUGAUGA
This 361-nucleotide long non-coding RNA is filed under the name Bos taurus (domestic cattle). RNAcentral describes it as "long non-coding RNA NONBTAT006666". Lineage: Eukaryota; Metazoa; Chordata; Mammalia; Artiodactyla; Bovidae. The record is from RNAcentral.